This 253-nucleotide ribosomal RNA is filed under the name uncultured bacterium. RNAcentral describes it as "partial 16S ribosomal RNA". It matches the Rfam family "Bacterial small subunit ribosomal RNA", at positions 524 to 776 of the family's 1533-position model. The record is from RNAcentral.
UACGUAGGGACCGAGCGUUGUCCGGAUUCAUUGGGCGUAAAGAGCUCGUAGGCGGCUGCUCAAGUCGAAUGUGAAACCUCGAGGCUUAACCUCGAGCCUGCAUUCGAUACUGGGCGGCUAGAGUCUGGUAGGGGGAUCUGGAAUUCCUGGUGUAGCGGUGGAAUGCGCAGAUAUCGUGAGGAACACCAGAGGCGAAGGCGGCUACCUGGACAAUUGCUGACGCUCAGGCACGAAAGCGUGGGGAGCAAAAGGG